AGUGUAGAGUUAUUUUUGGUUCUGCUGCUGCCUUUUCUGUGUGCUGCGGAGUCUUUUUUUGGUGACCUCUGUCCUCUAUGGGCAGAGACAUGACAUAUUCAUGCCCCAUAAGAUGCCUUCCCCAAAAGGAUGCUGCCGGUAGCACUAAAACAACACCACCACAACAGAUAGAGAAAACUCCUUGUGGACUGGGUGGACGGCUUCCUGACUGCUGGGGUUUCUCACCGUGGUGUCCCCAGGGCCCACUGCAGUGUCCAGUCCACAGGCGGCCCCCAGCUGCCCCCUGAUCCAUACACCAACCGAGGUCCACAGACAGGUGUGAGGUGGCACCAGGGAGACAGGAAGAGCCGGAAGGGCACCCUCAUGGAGUCUACGGGAAAGGGCUUGAAGAGACGCGAGGCUGCGGAGACAGAAGCCUGUGGAGUGCAGUGUGUCAGAAAGAGCACUGAACUUGGAGUCAGGCAGCCAGGAUACAGUCCCAGCUCACUCUCUGCCUCUUAUUUGCAACACGCCUUCUCUGAGCCUUGAGGAGAAUAAUUCCUACUUCACGAGGUGGUUGUUGGGGUUGAUGAAAGUUAUGAAUUUGAAACAGCUUUGUAGAAUUAUAACAUACUACUCAUA
Suricata suricatta (meerkat) is the source of this 621-nucleotide long non-coding RNA. RefSeq lists it as uncharacterized. Lineage: Eukaryota; Metazoa; Chordata; Mammalia; Carnivora; Herpestidae. The record is from RefSeq and is a predicted model, not a curated record. The transcript is spliced from 3 exons.